Molecule: ribosomal RNA, 253 nt
Filed under: uncultured bacterium
Lineage: Bacteria
Description: partial 16S ribosomal RNA
Rfam family: Bacterial small subunit ribosomal RNA
Source: RNAcentral
UACGUAGGGUGCGAGCGUUAAUCGGAAUUACUGGGCGUAAAGCGUGCGCAGGCGGUUUUGUAAGCCGGAUGUGAAAUCCCCGGGCUUAACCUGGGAAUUGCGCUUGAAACUAGCGGGCUUGAGUGUGGCAGAGGGGGGUGGAAUUCCACGUGUAGCAGUGAAAUGCGUAGAGAUGUGGAGGAACACCGAUGGCGAAGGCAGCCCCCUGGGUCAACACUGACGCUCAUGCACGAAAGCGUGGGGAGCAAACAGG